This is a long non-coding RNA of Gallus gallus (chicken), 1189 nucleotides long. RefSeq lists it as uncharacterized. The record is from RefSeq and is a predicted model, not a curated record. NCBI's taxonomy places the organism in Eukaryota, Metazoa, Chordata, Aves, Galliformes, Phasianidae. The transcript has 5 exons.
UCAAUUUUCAGGAGGAUGGGAUGCUGGGCCAGAAGCCACUUGCUUGAAUUCUGACUCGGCCAAAGACUCAGUGUAUCCUUGGGAAAAUGGCAUCAGCGUGCUCCAUAUUUCUCCUUCUUAUUUGUAAAACAGGAGCCACAUAAUGGAUGGAUUCACCUUGGUGUUACUGGCAGACUAAGGACAGACUCGUGCUUCUGUGUACCUGGCUUUACUCAGGGCCACCAUGUAGGGCAGCCACAGCACGUGCCUGCUUCCCUAUUGCACUAAGCAAUGUUGGAGAAUACAGUCUGCCUUCUGCAAGGGCUGAAGCACUACUUGGCACCCCAGUGCUAUGUGGGAAAGCAGCUGCAUGGUUCCUCUCAGUUUCUGUUUUUCUUUUAAGGAAAGUCAGCCUCUUCUUAAAAGAUCACUUUCAUCUGCUGUAUCUGCUGAAACAGACGAUUUAGUCCUGCCCUCCAACUUGUAGCAACUCCUGGAAUUUCAGUCCUGCUGGAGCAAGAAGGAAGUCUUACCUGGAGAGCAAGCCCCAUCUGGGAUACAUUUUGCAAGUUUUGCAUACCAUUAUGGGGACCUAAAUAGAGUCCUCCUGCAGUAACACAGAAUUGGAAACUCCAGCGCAGGAAAAAACACAUUUAGAUUCACCCAGAUUUAUAUCCUUUGAUCAAAAGCUGCCCCUUGUGCUUAUGAGAAUCUCAUGUAAUUAUCUGCAAAGUUACUGCUUUAUCUGAUUUCAUAUUCCCCUGUAGAACAGCCUUUGCCAUGUUAUCUACAAGAAGUGGGGUUUCUUGGGUUGCUGAAAUCAUGGUUCAUACCACGUAGCUUCAGCAUGGUGAUGAACUAUGUCAACCAGGAACCUUGGCUGCCUUCUGUUGGAGAAAGCCCCUCAAAGAUCUUUGAUGUGACAACGGAACUGGGAAAUAUUACUGACUCACAGCCUUUAAGCAAUCAAGGAGUGAUCAAAGCAGUGACUCAAGAAUUCAAGGGAAAAAUUACAUGCUCAGGGAAAUGAGGAAACCUUAUUACUGACUGAUAUUCAAUAGAACAGGCGACUGAAAGUCUAAUUUUGUGAAAUAUGAUUUUAAUUGGUAUUCACCAACUUAUUGUGUAUUACUUAUGUUAAAAGGAGCUUUUAAUUAAAAAAUAAAAAAAUAAAAACCUUGGCUCAAAAUUCCAGUUACAAAAGUGUGGG